RNAcentral lists this ribosomal RNA (518 nucleotides) under uncultured bacterium. Its description in RNAcentral is "bacterial SSU rRNA". It matches the Rfam family "Bacterial small subunit ribosomal RNA", at positions 8 to 521 of the family's 1533-position model. The record is from RNAcentral.
AGAGUUUGAUCCUGGCUCAGGAUGAACGCUGGCGGCGUGCCUAACACAUGCAAGUCGAACGGAGUUCUUAAGGAAUGCGACUUCGGUCAAAUGACUUUUGAACUUAGUGGCGGACGGGUGAGUAACGCGUGAGCAACCUGCCUUUCAGAGGGGGAUAACAUUUGGAAACAGAUGCUAAUACCGCAUAAGAUUACAGUACCGCAUGAUACAGUGAUCAAAGGAGCAAUCCGCUGAAAGAUGGGCUCGCGUCCGAUUAGAUAGUUGGUGAGGUAACGGCUCACCAAGUCGACGAUCGGUAGCCGGACUGAGAGGUUGAACGGCCACAUUGGGACUGAGACACGGCCCAGACUCCUACGGGAGGCAGCAGUGGGGAAUAUUGCACAAUGGGCGAAAGCCUGAUGCAGCAACGCCGCGUGAGGGAAGACGGUUUUCGGAUUGUAAACCUCUGUUUUCGGUGACGAAUAAAUGACGGUAACCGAGUAGGAAGCCACGGCUAACUACGUGCCAGCAGCCGCGGU